AGAAAGGGAUAAUUAAAUGACCAAUUGAACAUGUCAUCAGUUCACACAAUUGACCAUAUCACUAUAUUAGAACACACAAUUUUUUUUGGAUGUUACUUGGGCAUCAUCAAGAUGAACACAUCCAAAUAAAACAGAUAUGACAAGUUCAGACAUACCUGGGCAUUGUAAGUAAAUUUUGGUUCCAGAAAAUACUACACCUAACGACCACCAAUGCUAGACCAUCAGGAGAUGAUGGAGAUUUACCAAUUUCCGCCAAUGGCUGCAUCGACUCUGCUGUUUCCCCAUUGCUUCAUAAAUAAAUAAAAUUGCAUAAAGCAUCCAAAUUUCAACAAUUAACCAAUGGGUGUACACUACUGGGGUUCGACAUCGAAAUUUUAGUACUAAAUCAUCUUCGGCGCUUGCACUAAUCAGAAAAAUAGGACAACUUGGGCGAUUGGACUAAUCAGAAAAAUAGGAGGUGCUUACUGAACAUACCUAACCAAAACCAAGGGUCCACGGCGAGUGGGCGACGAGCCGACGAGGGAGCGGCGUCUCAGCGUGCACUGCCGGCAUGGAUGAACCGUGUACGGAUAACGGGGUUCCAAGCGCGGAGAAGCCAGAGGAGCCUCGGGCGCCGGCCCGCGGGCUGCCGGUGUGGGCGGACUGGGACGGCGAGCCGUGGGCGUGCCGCGUGGUUGGAAGGGGAUGGGGCUUCCGAGGAGGAGGUCAGAAGUG
Molecule: long non-coding RNA, 714 nt
Filed under: Triticum aestivum (bread wheat)
Lineage: Eukaryota; Viridiplantae; Streptophyta; Magnoliopsida; Poales; Poaceae
Description: long non-coding RNA (TAES_LNC015640)
Source: RNAcentral